This 210-nucleotide non-coding RNA is filed under the name Acholeplasma palmae. RNAcentral describes it as "Acholeplasma palmae. T-box sequence". It matches the Rfam family "T-box leader". From Rfam's summary of the family: Uncharged tRNA acts as the effector for transcription antitermination of genes in the T-box leader family. The record is from RNAcentral. Lineage: Bacteria; Bacillati; Mycoplasmatota; Mollicutes; Acholeplasmatales; Acholeplasmataceae.
AUAAUUACAAAGAAGAGGAAGAGUAAUUAACUAUAUUAUAGUAGAGAGUCUAUGUUUGGUGAAAAUAGAUAUAAUCAGUUAGUGAAGGUAGCCUUGGAGUUGAUAGAUUGAAAUAGUAGUAAAUUUAUUCGUAGCGUCUGCGUUAAAGACAUUAAGUGCUAUAACAAUUGUUAUAGAACUAAGGUGGUACCGCGAUGAUUCGUCCUUAGA